UGCAGUGAAAUCAGGUUUUAAUCACGUUGAACUGACCGUGACCAGGCUGAACUCGAUGCUGCAGCGCGUGGAUAGGUUGAUGACGGCGACUCCCGGCACGCCGGCUGAAUGGAGCCAAACUCCCCCCACCACAAUCAGGUGAGGACCACUUCGGAAAGAAUCAGAGUUGGAGCCGUCGGGUCGAGUCCUGCAAUUCCCAAAGCUUCCUCUACAAUGGAAUCAUGUCGCACAUCCACCCCUAGCAGGAAAUUUUCACAAGAAUCAUGGACGUUGACAUGAUUUGCCUUCGCGGGCCGCAUCAAAUCAUGUGGCGGGCUGGAUCUGGCACUUGGGCUUUGAGUUUGACACCAGUGAUGUAUAGUGUCACGACAUCAAUGGAAAAUUUCACCUGUAG
Molecule: long non-coding RNA, 394 nt
Organism: Syngnathoides biaculeatus (alligator pipefish)
Lineage: Eukaryota; Metazoa; Chordata; Actinopteri; Syngnathiformes; Syngnathidae
Exons: 3
Source: RefSeq, a predicted model, not a curated record